This 76-nucleotide transfer RNA is filed under the name Arsenophonus nasoniae (son-killer infecting Nasonia vitripennis). Its description in RNAcentral is "tRNA-Lys". It matches the Rfam family "tRNA". From Rfam's summary of the family: Transfer RNA (tRNA) molecules are approximately 80 nucleotides in length. Their secondary structure includes four short double-helical elements and three loops (D, anti-codon, and T loops). The record is from RNAcentral. Lineage: Bacteria; Pseudomonadati; Pseudomonadota; Gammaproteobacteria; Enterobacterales; Morganellaceae. RNAcentral also lists the same sequence under 1 other name.
GGCUUAUUAGCUCAGUUGGUAGAGCAGUGGACUCUUAAUCCAUCGGUCGCAGGUUCGAGCCCUGCAUAGCCCACCA